GAGGACAUUGCUGGUUUUGGAACCUUUUUGUCUUCUCUGUGUGUGUGUGUGUGUGUGUGUCGCUUAAUUAAUGCUUAUUAUUUGUGUUAUUGCGUUUUAAGCAACAAAAUGGCAACUCGAUUAUUGCGUUGACCUUGUCUGUAUGUGUGUUUGUCAAGCAGAGGCAUUGGCAGCGACGCUGUCGUCGUCAACUUUGAGGGCAACAGCGACUGCGCCGCUGAAUUCGACGCGGCGAAAUCGGUCAUUGAACUUUGAACCAAACAAAAGGCGAGAGAGCUUUUACUGAUUUGUGUGACCAUCAAAUAGAAGAAGAAGCAGAAGUAGACGAAGUAAAGUGAAGCAGCAAUGGCGGCUAUUUGGGUCACGCAUGACGCGCGCGCGUCUGCGACUAGAGCAUGCGUCCAUCCGUCUAAGAAA
Long non-coding RNA from Drosophila arizonae, 417 nucleotides. NCBI's taxonomy places the organism in Eukaryota, Metazoa, Arthropoda, Insecta, Diptera, Drosophilidae. The record is from RefSeq and is a predicted model, not a curated record.